This 1700-nucleotide ribosomal RNA is filed under the name Salmonella enterica subsp. enterica serovar Paratyphi A. RNAcentral describes it as "16S ribosomal RNA". Lineage: Bacteria; Pseudomonadati; Pseudomonadota; Gammaproteobacteria; Enterobacterales; Enterobacteriaceae. The record is from RNAcentral.
UUUUCAUCAGACAAUCUGUGUGAGCACUGCANNNNNNNNNNNNNNNNNNNNUUCUUUAAGGUAAGGAGGUGAUCCAACCGCAGGUUCCCCUACGGUUACCUUGUUACGACUUCACCCCAGUCAUGAAUCACAAAGUGGUAAGCGCCCUCCCGAAGGUUAAGCUACCUACUUCUUUUGCAACCCACUCCCAUGGUGUGACGGGCGGUGUGUACAAGGCCCGGGAACGUAUUCACCGUGGCAUUCUGAUCCACGAUUACUAGCGAUUCCGACUUCAUGGAGUCGAGUUGCAGACUCCAAUCCGGACUACGACGCACUUUAUGAGGUCCGCUUGCUCUCGCGAGGUCGCUUCUCUUUGUAUGCGCCAUUGUAGCACGUGUGUAGCCCUGGUCGUAAGGGCCAUGAUGACUUGACGUCAUCCCCACCUUCCUCCAGUUUAUCACUGGCAGUCUCCUUUGAGUUCCCGGCCGGACCGCUGGCAACAAAGGAUAAGGGUUGCGCUCGUUGCGGGACUUAACCCAACAUUUCACAACACGAGCUGACGACAGCCAUGCAGCACCUGUCUCACGGUUCCCGAAGGCACAUUCUCAUCUCUGAAAACUUCCGUGGAUGUCAAGACCAGGUAAGGUUCUUCGCGUUGCAUCGAAUUAAACCACAUGCUCCACCGCUUGUGCGGGCCCCCGUCAAUUCAUUUGAGUUUUAACCUUGCGGCCGUACUCCCCAGGCGGUCUACUUAACGCGUUAGCUCCGGAAGCCACGCCUCAAGGGCACAACCUCCAAGUAGACAUCGUUUACGGCGUGGACUACCAGGGUAUCUAAUCCUGUUUGCUCCCCACGCUUUCGCACCUGAGCGUCAGUCUUUGUCCAGGGGGCCGCCUUCGCCACCGGUAUUCCUCCAGAUCUCUACGCAUUUCACCGCUACACCUGGAAUUCUACCCCCCUCUACAAGACUCAAGCCUGCCAGUUUCGAAUGCAGUUCCCAGGUUGAGCCCGGGGAUUUCACAUCCGACUUGACAGACCGCCUGCGUGCGCUUUACGCCCAGUAAUUCCGAUUAACGCUUGCACCCUCCGUAUUACCGCGGCUGCUGGCACGGAGUUAGCCGGUGCUUCUUCUGCGGGUAACGUCAAUUGCUGCGGUUAUUAACCACAACACCUUCCUCCCCGCUGAAAGUACUUUACAACCCGAAGGCCUUCUUCAUACACGCGGCAUGGCUGCAUCAGGCUUGCGCCCAUUGUGCAAUAUUCCCCACUGCUGCCUCCCGUAGGAGUCUGGACCGUGUCUCAGUUCCAGUGUGGCUGGUCAUCCUCUCAGACCAGCUAGGGAUCGUCGCCUUGGUGAGCCGUUACCUCACCAACAAGCUAAUCCCAUCUGGGCACAUCUGAUGGCAAGAGGCCCGAAGGUCCCCCUCUUUGGUCUUGCGACGUUAUGCGGUAUUAGCCACCGUUUCCAGUAGUUAUCCCCCUCCAUCAGGCAGUUUCCCAGACAUUACUCNNNNNNNNNNNNNNNNNNNNCCCGUCCGCCACUCGUCAGCAAAGCAGCAAGCUGCUUCCUGUUACCGUUCGACUUGCAUGUGUUAGGCCUGCCGCCAGCGUUCAAUCUGAGCCAUGAUCAAACUCUUCAAUUUAAAAGUUUGAUGCUCAAUGAAUUAAACUUCGUAAUGAAUUACGUGUUCACUCUUGAGACUUGGUAUUCAUUUUUCGUC